ACACUCUGGUUUCUCCCCAGCACGCACAAGCUUUUGUCUUUUACUAAAGACUUCCGUGGAGAGGAAAUUACGAGUAUCAACCAUUUUUAAGAUGCCCUGCUCAGGCGGGGCU
Hypomesus transpacificus is the source of this 112-nucleotide small nuclear RNA. RefSeq annotates it as U5 spliceosomal RNA. The transcript has a single exon. The record is from RefSeq and is a predicted model, not a curated record. NCBI's taxonomy places the organism in Eukaryota, Metazoa, Chordata, Actinopteri, Osmeriformes, Osmeridae.